GAUGAACGCUGGCGGCGUGCCUAAUACAUGCAAGUCGAGCGAACGGACGAGAAGCUUGCUUCUCUGAUGUUGGCGGCGGACGGGUGAGUAACACGUGGAUAACCUACCUAUAAGACUGGGAUAACUUCGGGAAACCGGAGCUAAUACCGGAUAAUAUUUUGAACCGCAUGGUUCAAAAGUGAAAGACGGUCUUGCUGUCACUUAUAGAUGGAUCCGCGCUGCAUUAGCUAGUUGGUAAGGUAACGGCUUACCAAGGCAACGAUGCAUAGCCGACCUGAGAGGGUGAUCGGCCACACUGGAACUGAGACACGGUCCAGACUCCUACGGGAGGCAGCAGUAGGGAAUCUUCCGCAAUGGGCGAAAGCCUGACGGAGCAACGCCGCGUGAGUGAUGAAGGUCUUAGGAUCGUAAAACUCUGUUAUUAGGGAAGAACAUAUGUGUAAGUAACUGUGCACAUCUUGACGGUACCUAAUCAGAAAGCCACGGCUAACUACGUG
This 497-nucleotide ribosomal RNA is filed under the name uncultured bacterium. Its description in RNAcentral is "partial 16S ribosomal RNA". It matches the Rfam family "Bacterial small subunit ribosomal RNA", at positions 28 to 507 of the family's 1533-position model. The record is from RNAcentral.